AUGGAGGCAGCACAGCACAAGUUUGCUCCCAGAAAUGAUCUGCUGCUCCCUUCGAGGGAACAAAAUGGCACCACUCAGCACAAGCCAAGGGAGCUCGAUUACAUCAUGUUUCUCCAUGGAGAAGUUCAAACAACCCUAACAAUCUCUUUCCACAGGUAGGAGAUAGGGCAGGCCAGACUGGUCCCACACUGCUGUGAACAAACACAGCUUUGGUUUGUGAACUAAAG
This 227-nucleotide long non-coding RNA is filed under the name Apteryx haastii (Great spotted kiwi). Its description in RNAcentral is "lncRNA (ENSAHAG00000001862.1)". The record is from RNAcentral. Lineage: Eukaryota; Metazoa; Chordata; Aves; Apterygiformes; Apterygidae.